Molecule: transfer RNA, 64 nt
Filed under: Pagurus sp. D20M
Lineage: Eukaryota; Metazoa; Arthropoda; Malacostraca; Decapoda; Paguridae
Description: tRNA-Thr
Rfam family: tRNA
About the family: Transfer RNA (tRNA) molecules are approximately 80 nucleotides in length. Their secondary structure includes four short double-helical elements and three loops (D, anti-codon, and T loops).
Source: RNAcentral
GUUUUAAUAGUUUAAAUAAAACAUUGGUCUUGUAAACCAAAAUUGAAAUAAUUUUCUUAAAACU